This is a long non-coding RNA of Echinops telfairi (small Madagascar hedgehog), 705 nucleotides long. RefSeq lists it as uncharacterized. NCBI's taxonomy places the organism in Eukaryota, Metazoa, Chordata, Mammalia, Afrosoricida, Tenrecidae. The record is from RefSeq and is a predicted model, not a curated record. The transcript has 3 exons.
AGGUCCUCACGAAUACAGCCUCGUCCAUUUUCAGAAACAGUUGAAAGUGAUCAUCUGCAUGGAGGGGGUUAUUCACCAUCAAUCCUGGUUUCACUGGAGGUUUCGAAGUUCACACAGCUCAUUAUUUUUCCUAAAUGGAAUUUGUUGAAUACGAAGUGCUGACUGCCAUCGUUUUUAUGAGCAUCAAGAACUGGGCGGCUGCCAUGAUCAACAAAUAGCAUUUCUCCAGAGCAUUUGCAUCCACAGAAACGCAAGUAUCCCCAGAAGAGCUCAGAUGGCUCCGUCUCCUCUCCCAGGGCCCAGGACGCUCCCUCUGGCUUCCACGGCUUUGGCACAGGAAGCGCCUUCAAGAAAAGGACAAGUGCCCGGGCUGUGUGAUCUGGCCGCCCAACUGUGAGCCAGAGCAGAGCGGAUUCACAGGGAAGCUAAGGAAGCUUAGCUUACCUACCUCUCUUUCCCAGGGGCCCCUUCCAAACCUUUGGAUCAGUGGUGCAUUUGCAACUUGCAUUCUUUUUGUUAAAAGAGCCCUCUACGUUGGAGGAACUCUACCUAAACCACAACCCAACCAGUUGCCGUGGAAUUGAUUCUGACCCAGGUGGAUCCCAGGUGCUGCACAACAGAGGUUUCUCUAGGCUUUGAGAAGAUUGUUGCCAGCCCUUUCUUCCGAGGCACCAAAGGAUGGGUUGGAACCACCAACUUUUCGGU